RNAcentral lists this ribosomal RNA (385 nucleotides) under uncultured bacterium. RNAcentral's name for it is "bacterial SSU rRNA". It matches the Rfam family "Bacterial small subunit ribosomal RNA", at positions 28 to 410 of the family's 1533-position model. The record is from RNAcentral.
GACGAACGCUGGCGGCGUGCUUAAUACAUGCAAGUCAACUGAACUUUAGGUAGCAAUAUUUAAAGGGAGGUGGCGCACGGGUGAGUAACACGUAGGUAAUCUGCCUUCAGGACUGACAUAAUUCCGCGAAAGCGGGACUAAAAUCAGAUGAUGCAGCGGCUCGACAUCGAGACAGUUGUUAAACCUUCGGGGCCUGAAGAUGAGCCUGCGUCUGAUUAGGUAGUUGGCGGGGUAAAAGCCCACCAAGCCUGCGAUCAGUAGCUGGUCUGAGAGGAUGAUCAGCCACACUGGAACUGAGACACGGUCCAGACUCCUACGGGAGGCAGCAGUAAGGAAUAUUGCUCAAUGGCCGAAAGGCUGAAGCAGCAACGCCGCGUGGAGGAUG